AACAAGACGGAAGAGAGUCACUCUUACCGUCGCGCAUACCUUAAGCGGGUCUGCCGCCUUCGUUUCUCUUUCUUCGCGAAUGACUUUGAUUGCGCUCGCGCGCCGCAUCGCACCCUUUGGGUGCUGGCGCUCCGCGAGGGCGCGGCACGAGCCGCGACGGCCGCCGGUUUUAGUUAGAUUUGGCGGCCUUGCGAGGCUCUGCCUCGAAGCUGGCUACCAUCUGCGCUUGGGGCUUAGGGCUUGUAGCUCAGUUGGUUAGAGCGCGCGCUUGAUAAGCGUGAGGUCGGAGGUUCAAGUCCUCCCAGGCCCACCAUUCCUCGACAAGGUAAGGUCGAAGAGGUGUUAUCAAGGGGCCGUAGCUCAGCUGGGAGAGCGCCUGCUUUGCAAGCAGGAUGUCGUCGGUUCGAUCCCGUCCGGCUCCACCAUCUCCGCGCAAUCCGCAGGAUUGUCGCCGCGCAAUCCGCAGGAUUGUCGCUUCUUCUGAGGAAGAAAGGGUGUCGAGUGAAUGUGAAGCUGGCUGAGAAAAAGUCAUUCGUUCAAGAGUUUGCGGCGAGCCUUUGGCUCUCCGCCUGUUCUGUAUGACAUCGUAAAGAGAAGAUUUGUUCGAACUUCAUAGCCCGCAAGGGGUGUGAUUUGUCGCGGGAGACGCUCAAUCUCCCGCAUAUGAUGGGUUUGCCUAACCGCACCCUCGAACCGAUCUCGAGAAGCUGGUCUUUUUGUG
RNAcentral lists this transfer RNA (721 nucleotides) under Mesorhizobium temperatum. RNAcentral's name for it is "partial 16S-23S ribosomal RNA intergenic spacer". The stretch from base 237 to 310 matches the Rfam family "tRNA". Lineage: Bacteria; Pseudomonadati; Pseudomonadota; Alphaproteobacteria; Hyphomicrobiales; Phyllobacteriaceae. The record is from RNAcentral.